This 423-nucleotide ribosomal RNA is filed under the name Triticum aestivum (bread wheat). RNAcentral describes it as "partial small subunit ribosomal RNA". Lineage: Eukaryota; Viridiplantae; Streptophyta; Magnoliopsida; Poales; Poaceae. The record is from RNAcentral.
AUGUCGUCGAUGAGCACGAUCUCGUUGAGCGUGUCCGCCAUCCUGCCGAUGGAGGGCGGGAUGCACCCGCCGAGCCGAUUGUGCGCGAGCACGACGACGGAGGCCGGCGAGUUGCCGAGGUUGGCGGGGAUGGGGUUGCGCAGGCGGUUGGAGUUGAGGAAGAUGGCGUCGAGCGGGCGGUCGAAGAGCGCCGGCGGGAUGGAGCCCUCGAAGUCAUUGAAGCGGAGGUCGAGGUACCUGAGGGACGGCAGCGCGAGCACCACCUCCGGGAAGGCGCCGACGAAGCGGUUGUUGCUGAGGUCGAGCUCGUGGAGCAGGCGCAAGCGGCGGAAGGUGUCGGGCACGACGCCGCAGAAGCGGUUGGAGUUGAGGUGCAGCAGCGCCAGGUCCGGGAGCCCCAGCGGGAGGGAGGCGGGGAUGUAG